This is a long non-coding RNA of Rattus norvegicus (Norway rat), 1407 nucleotides long. RefSeq lists it as uncharacterized. NCBI's taxonomy places the organism in Eukaryota, Metazoa, Chordata, Mammalia, Rodentia, Muridae. The record is from RefSeq and is a predicted model, not a curated record.
CGCUAGUGAUUGGGCGAAGAGCAAGAAAGGCGGGAAGAAGUUCCGAAGGGGCGUGGCCAGGGUGCCCAAGGACCGUUGUUUCCGUAACCAGGGAACUGCAGAAAGCUGUGAUUGGCAGCCAUAGGGAGGCGGGCACCGGAGGCGGUACCGGAUCUGGGGCGCGCGCGCAGGUGGCGGUGGAGAGUACAGGAGGGCGUGGGCGGUGUGAGAGAAGAAAGGGAUAUGGGGAUAUAAAGGGAGACGCUUCUGAACCACCCUCCGAAUACCCAGAAGCCAGAGCCGGGGAGCUACGCUUAAAGGUUUUGGAGAAAGGAUUUGGCAGUCAUCACCCCGUGUGCGGAGUGAAGCAAAAUAAGUCAGCCCUGUGUAGAAAAAAGAAACCUUUUCUCAGAGAGGUCUUUGUUUGGAUUUUACGAAGCCAGAACUGGAGCUGAUCUUCGCCCCCACCCUGCGUCAAGUACAUGGUGUAUUACAGCACAUACGAGUAUGUUCAAAGGCAGUGAUCAGAAGGAAAUACACCGUCUUCCAAUCCCAUGUCAUAUUUUAAAACAAAGCAACGAUCUUUUUCCUGGAGAAAAAUCCUUGGAAUUAUGGGAUUUUCUUUUCUCAAAUUUCCUUUACUUAGUUACAUAUAAAAAUACUAAUUUUAGAGACUGGAGAGAUGUCUCAGCGGUUAAAAGCACUAGAUGCUCUUCCAGAGGACUUGGGUUCAAUCCCCAGCACCCACAUGCAACCCACACUGGUCUGUAACUCCACUUCCAGGAGACCUGACAAAACACCAAUGCACAUAAGACCGAAAUAAUUUAAAAAUACCAAUUUCAAUAGGAUCGUUUCAUUCUUUUAAAGCUUAAGAAAUCGGUAUUAAUGUUUUAAAGAGGACUAAAGGGCGCCAAUGAGAACAGCAUUCUUCCCACAAUACUUUCCUUUUACUUUGUAAAUUGUAGUGCCAAAGAUAUGCCUGUUAAUUUUACCAAGUAGGUUUCAAAAACUGGGAGAGGCAGAGGCGGGGAGGACCUAAAGAGAUGGCUCAGUGGUUAGGGGCGCUUGAUGCUCUUGCAGAGGACCCAAGUUUAGUUUCCUAUCACCACAUAGUCGCUCACAAAGGGGGAUCCAACAACCUCUUCCAGCCUCUGUGGGCAUGCGUUCAUGCAGGCAAACACUGAAACACAACAAGUAAUGUCCUUAAGACUGGAGGCAAGAAGAAAGAGUGGCUGAUUAGUGUAAUGAGGACGAAAGAGACAGACUUUUACGAGUCUAUAGCUAAUUCAGGUCCACUCCUAAACAUACUUAUUCCUAGUGAAGAUUUUGGUGCUUAUUUUAGGGAUAUUGGUUGUCCAAUAAAUAUGUACAAGUUGCAAAAUGCGAUUAAAGCACCUGUGAAGUCUUGCACUAAUUUUUAAAAAGCAA